RNAcentral lists this ribosomal RNA (292 nucleotides) under uncultured bacterium. Its description in RNAcentral is "partial 16S ribosomal RNA". It matches the Rfam family "Bacterial small subunit ribosomal RNA", at positions 505 to 796 of the family's 1533-position model. The record is from RNAcentral.
GUGCCAGCCGCCGCGGUAAGACGUAGGGGACGAGCGUUGUCCGGAUUUAUUGGGCGUAAAGCGCGCGCAGGCGGCCCGCUAAGUCGGAUGUGAAAUCCCGCGGCUCAACCGCGGAACUGCACUCGAUACUGGUGGGCUUGAGGCAGGUAGGGGAGAUCGGAAUUCCUGGUGUAGCGGUGAAAUGCGCAGAUAUCAGGAGGAACACCGGUGGCGAAGGCGGAUCUCUGGGCCUGUCCUGACGCUGAGGCGCGAAAGCUAGGGGAGCGAACAGGAUUAGAUACCCGCGUAGUCC